This 486-nucleotide ribosomal RNA is filed under the name uncultured bacterium. RNAcentral describes it as "partial 16S ribosomal RNA". It matches the Rfam family "Bacterial small subunit ribosomal RNA", at positions 30 to 507 of the family's 1533-position model. The record is from RNAcentral.
AUUGAACGCUGGCGGCAUGCCUUACACAUGCAAGUCGAACGGCAGCACGGGUGCUUGCACCUGGUGGCGAGUGGCGAACGGGUGAGUAAUACAUCGGAACAUGUCCUGUAGUGGGGGAUAGCCCGGCGAAAGCCGGAUUAAUACCGCAUACGAUCUACGGAUGAAAGCGGGGGACCUUCGGGCCUCGCGCUAUAGGGUUGGCCGAUGGCUGAUUAGCUAGUUGGUGGGGUAAAGGCCUACCAAGGCGACGAUCAGUAGCUGGUCUGAGAGGACGACCAGCCACACUGGGACUGAGAAACGGCCCAGACUCCUACGGGAGGCAGCAGUGGGGAAUUUUGGACAAUGGGCGAAAGCCUGAUCCAGCAAUGCCGCGUGUGUGAAGAAGGCCUUCGGGUUGUAAAGCACUUUUGUCCGGAAAGAAAUCCUUGGCUCUAAUACAGUCGGGGGAUGACGGUACCGGAAGAAUAAGCACCGGCUAACUACGUG